Molecule: long non-coding RNA, 889 nt
Organism: Melitaea cinxia (Glanville fritillary)
Lineage: Eukaryota; Metazoa; Arthropoda; Insecta; Lepidoptera; Nymphalidae
Exons: 2
Source: RefSeq, a predicted model, not a curated record
UGGAGUAUUAUAUCUCCAAAGAAAGGAAUAUUUAUCUUAAAAUGAUUUUAAUAACACACGUUCGUUUAUUUUAAUAUUAAACAAAAUUAAUUACAAUUAAUUUCUAGGGCACAAAAUCUAACUUGGUGGAAAUUCCUAUUGAGUUACGUUAUUUUCUUACCUCUCUUCAAAAACUACCAAAUAAUAUCCUUUUCUUUUAAAUGGAAAUACUCUUAAACAGUCUGAUUUGUCCGCAAUAUUGAAAGCAAAGCGUUAGAUUACAAAAACUAACGGCUGGGCGAGAAGACGUGUUGCAGUGUAAAAAUUUUGUUCCAUUUAAAAACGUAGUUUUCUCGGGUGAAUUGCAUGAUUUUAUGUACUUGCUUGAAAGCAACUGAUUUCUUAUUGUGUUUAUUCCUAAAUUAUCGCUAAACAAGUUUAAUUGCAAGUUUAACAUUGAAUAUUUAAGUAAUAGUUUUGUAUACUCACCCAAAACGUUACGUUCCAUUGAGAAAUUUUGUAACUCAGUGGAACGAAUUGUAACUCAAUGUAAGGGUAAAGGCGCGAUACAUACAAUAAAGUUUUACAAAAAUGGCUUUGACACCAGCAGAACGUAUGAAGAGGUAUCGAGAACGACUAAAACUAAAUCCAGAAAAAUUGGAAAGUAUUAAAAAGAAACACGCUGAAUAUGUAAAAUCUAAAAGCAAAACAGUUAAAGAUCUAACGGAGAAGGAAAAGGAAAAGCAACGAAAAAUUUGGAGUAAUCAGAAACGUAAGCAAAAACAAAAGAAAAAACAGCUUCCAGUUUAGGAAGAAAAAGGUACUAAGAAACCAAAAAAUAGUAAACCAAAGUAAAUUGAUUAAGAAUUAUAAGACUGCUUUAAAAAUAAACCAAAAAUUGACAAAACUA